UACGUAGGGGGCGAGCGUUGUCCGAAGUUACUGGGCGUAAAGCGCGCGUAGGCGGGGGAUUAAGUGAGAGGUGAAAGGCUGGGGCUCAACCCCAUGCAGUGCCUCUCAUACUGGUCUUCUUGAGGGCGGUAGGGAGAAGUGGAAUGGCUGGUGUAGCGGUGAAAUGCGUAGAUAUCAGUCGGAACACCGGUGGCGAAGGCGGGUCUCUGGGCCGAAACUGACGCUGAGGAGCGAAAGCGUGGGGAGCAAACAGG
RNAcentral lists this ribosomal RNA (254 nucleotides) under uncultured bacterium. RNAcentral describes it as "partial 16S ribosomal RNA". It matches the Rfam family "Bacterial small subunit ribosomal RNA", at positions 524 to 776 of the family's 1533-position model. The record is from RNAcentral.